This 272-nucleotide long non-coding RNA is filed under the name Phoenix dactylifera (date palm). Its description in RNAcentral is "long non-coding RNA (PDAC_LNC005992)". The record is from RNAcentral. Lineage: Eukaryota; Viridiplantae; Streptophyta; Magnoliopsida; Arecales; Arecaceae.
UAUCCCUGAGGGGGAACCCUCUCGCUCACUGCGUUUUACAGAUCGCAUGGAUGAGGGGACCUUUCAUCGGAUGGGAUUCCACAAGGUCGGGGAAGUCUGGGUACGGAAACUAUCCACAUCCACACCAUCUGACCCUACCACUCAUCACUCUCCUAGCCCUAACCAUGACCAGGAGCACUAUACAGAUCUUCCCACUUUUCCUUCCACCUCUGGUCCUACCCAUACUGAGCCCUCCACCUCCACUGCCCCACCUUCUCAGCAACAGCCCCUGG